This 335-nucleotide unclassified non-coding RNA is filed under the name soil metagenome. RNAcentral's name for it is "partial contains 5.8S ribosomal RNA, internal transcribed spacer 2, and large subunit ribosomal RNA". The stretch from base 1 to 120 matches the Rfam family "5.8S ribosomal RNA", at positions 35 to 154 of the family's 154-position model. The record is from RNAcentral.
GAUGAAGAACGUAGCGAAAUGCGAUAAGUAAUGUGAAUUGCAGAAUUCAGUGAAUCAUCGAAUCUUUGAACGCACAUUGCGCCUGCCAGUACUCUGGCGGGCAUGCCUGUUCGAGCGUCAUUUCAACCAUCAAGCCCCCGGCUUGUGUUGGGGACCUGCGGCUGCCGCAGGCCCUGAAAACCAGUGGCGGGCUCGCUAGUCACUCCGAGCGUAGUAAUACAUCUCGCUCAGGGCGUGCUGCGGGUUCCGGCCGUUAAAAAGCCUUAUUUACCCAAGGUUGACCUCGGAUCAGGUAGGAAGACCCGCUGAACUUAAGCAUAUCAAUAAGCGGAGGA